RNAcentral lists this transfer RNA (73 nucleotides) under Felis catus (domestic cat). It matches the Rfam family "tRNA". Rfam says of the family: Transfer RNA (tRNA) molecules are approximately 80 nucleotides in length. Their secondary structure includes four short double-helical elements and three loops (D, anti-codon, and T loops). Further hydrogen bonds mediate the characteristic L-shaped molecular structure. tRNAs have two regions of fundamental functional importance: the anti-codon, which is responsible for specific mRNA codon recognition, and the 3' end, to which the tRNAs corresponding amino acid is attached (by aminoacyl-tRNA synthetases). tRNAs cope with the degeneracy of the genetic code in two manners: having more than one tRNA (with a specific anti-codon) for a particular amino acid; and 'wobble' base-pairing, i.e. permitting non-standard base-pairing at the 3rd anti-codon position. The record is from Rfam by way of RNAcentral. Lineage: Eukaryota; Metazoa; Chordata; Mammalia; Carnivora; Felidae. RNAcentral also lists the same sequence under 3 other names.
ACCUGGCUGGCUCAGUCAGAAGAGCAUGAGAUUCUUGAUCUCGAGGUUGUGAGUUUGAGCCCCACGUUGGGUA